UAUCUCUCUAUAUAACUAAAAGUCGUUUAUCAAUUUAUCAUCUGUAUGCUUAUAUCAUUUUAUCUUGAUAAAGUUCAUUGUUGAAAAGUUACGGUAGAAUUUUAAAAGUAUAUAAACUUUUGAAUACAAUUUUUUUUUGUCUCAAUUAAUUUUAAAUUCCUUCAAAAAGAGGGUUUAGUAAUUAAAUUUAUGAGGGGUCGGUAUAUACAAAUAUGUAUAUGUACAAAAGAAUUUUCAAGAAAAAG
This 245-nucleotide unclassified non-coding RNA is filed under the name Hevea brasiliensis (rubber tree). Lineage: Eukaryota; Viridiplantae; Streptophyta; Magnoliopsida; Malpighiales; Euphorbiaceae. The record is from RNAcentral.